GACGAACGCUGGCGGCGUGCUUAACACAUGCAAGUCGAACGGAAAGGCCCUGCUUUUGUGGGGUGCUCGAGUGGCGAACGGGUGAGUAACACGUGAGUAACCUGCCCUUGACUUUGGGAUAACUUCAGGAAACUGGGGCUAAUACCGGAUAGGAGCUCCUGCUGCAUGGUGGGGGUUGGAAAGUUUCGGCGGUUGGGGAUGGGCUCGCGGCUUAUCAGCUUGUUGGUGGGGUAGUGGCUUACCAAGGCUUUGACGGGUAGCCGGCCUGAGAGGGUGACCGGCCACAUUGGGAUUGAGAUACGGCCCAGACUCCUACGGGAGGCAGCAGUGGGGAAUAUUGCACAAUGGGCGGAAGCCUGAUGCAGCAACGCCGCGUGCGGGAUGACGGCCUUCGGGUUGUAAACCGCUUUCGCCUGUGACGAAGCGUGAGUGACGGUAAUGGGUAAAGAAGCACCGGCUAACUACGUG
Molecule: ribosomal RNA, 468 nt
Filed under: uncultured bacterium
Lineage: Bacteria
Description: partial 16S ribosomal RNA
Rfam family: Bacterial small subunit ribosomal RNA
Source: RNAcentral